RNAcentral lists this long non-coding RNA (278 nucleotides) under Mustela putorius furo (domestic ferret). Its description in RNAcentral is "lncRNA (ENSMPUG00000023964.1)". The record is from RNAcentral. Lineage: Eukaryota; Metazoa; Chordata; Mammalia; Carnivora; Mustelidae.
GGCCACGCUCCAUCCGGUUCCAACACGUUCCAACAUCCGGGUCCUGCAACAACGCUGAGGGCCGGCACGCGGUCAGAACUCCUCCGCCCGCACACUAGCCCGCUGCUGCUCUGUUGCUAGUUCCGGUUUCCGGCCUAGAGAUGGGGCCCAGCUGGUUCCUGAGUGAUUGGCGGCCUCUACUCAGAGCUGCCGUCUCACCUCAGCGUCCGGCGGAGCACAGGACGCCUCGCCGCGUGAUCCCGAAGGUUCCCCACGCCAUGUCUGCACCAGACCUCUAA